AAACUCCUGCCAUUCAUACUCUUCUAGCAGUAGAAAAAGUACCACUACUUGGCUAGUACCCAGCCACAUAUUUCCCAUUCUAGAGACAACUAUGGGACUUUACUGAGAGUGUCUUUUUUUUUAGUCAGACUAGGAAAGUUAACAGUUUUAAUGGCUUUUUUAAGUCAUAAAGUAUUUAUGAAGUACCCAUUAUGAGCAGAACUUUUUAAAAUUAAGAAUUGCUAAAGAAAUUAGAAGAUACAGUCAGCCCGUGAGGAUUUUACAAUUUAUUUAGGACAGAAGAUACUCAUAUUAUUAGAGAAUGCUAUAGGAAUUCAAAUUAAGAAUUCAGUUUCCUGGAAAGGAUGAUUGAUCAGAGGAACUAUCAUGAGGAAGAGUCUAGAACUGAGUCUUGAAGAAAAUGGAGAGUGGCAUUGACAGAGAAGAGGAAGAAAGACUUACUAGGGAGGGCGAACUACACCCAACAAAGGCACAGCAAGGAGAAAGUUCACCAAGGGCCAGAGCCACACAGGGAGGACGAGGAAUUCCUGGAGGAGGGAGGCUGUGUGUGUUUAUUGCCCUGUCAGCCCUUCACGACAAAAGACAAAAGUUGCUGUAACUUGUGUGUUCCCACACACAUGAUCCAUAUGGACAAUAUCGAGUAUAGGUGCUGAUGAAGGGGGAAGAAAGGAUGACCAGAAAUCAAGAUGCCGGCUGCCUUGUGGGAAACAUGGAGAAAUGCUCUAACAGUGAGCCUCUGACUAAACACCACAAUUCCAGAGCUGGGAGGAAUUCUGAGACGUUCUUCACACCAGAGGGAAAAAGAACCACCAGCUCUUGACUGACUAAGGCCUUGUGUUGCCUUGGACCUUGGGCCUAAUUUUUUUCUUUUCAAGCUUAAAGGUUUCUGUUGCCUUUGCAGGAGAAUCUAGGUUUUACUCCUACAGCAAUAUGUAUUGCGGGGGACCAUGCUUUCCUUUUUUCUCAGCACAUUUAUUAUAGCUUAGUUUCCACACAGUUCUUCGCUAUGCGUGCAUUAUCAGGGCCAAUUCUAGUUCAUCUCCUCAGUGUCAGACUGAAACCACCUAAAAUAUG
This 1074-nucleotide long non-coding RNA is filed under the name Homo sapiens (human). Its description in RNAcentral is "HSALNT0089567". Lineage: Eukaryota; Metazoa; Chordata; Mammalia; Primates; Hominidae. The record is from RNAcentral.